RNAcentral lists this non-coding RNA (24 nucleotides) under Cricetulus griseus (Chinese hamster). Lineage: Eukaryota; Metazoa; Chordata; Mammalia; Rodentia; Cricetidae. The record is from RNAcentral.
GAAAAUAAAUACAUUCUGAGCCGC